This 476-nucleotide ribosomal RNA is filed under the name uncultured bacterium. Its description in RNAcentral is "bacterial SSU rRNA". It matches the Rfam family "Bacterial small subunit ribosomal RNA", at positions 1 to 525 of the family's 1533-position model. The record is from RNAcentral.
UAGAGUUUGAUCAUGGCUCAGGAUAAACCCUGGCGGCGUGCCUAACACAUGCAAGUCGAACGAUCCCGCACGGGAGAGUGGCGGAAGGGUGAGUAACACGUGGGAAUCUACCUCCUCGCAGGGAACAACCUCUCGAAAGAGAGGCUAAUACCCAAAAGGGUCAGAAAUGAUCAGAGUCGAAAGGCGUGAGGAGAGGAGCCCGCGGCCCAUCAGCUAGUUGGUGAGGCAAUGGCUUACCAAGGCUACGACGGGUAGGGGAUCUGAGAGGAUGUCCCCCACACUGGAACUGAAACACGGUCCAGACGCCUACGGGUGGCAGCAGUGAGGAAUAUUGGACAAUGGGCGAAAGCCCGAUCCAGCAACGCCGCGUGGAGGAUGAAGGCCUUCGGGUCGUAAACUUCUUUAGAGGGAGACGAGAAAGGACGGUAUCCCUAGAAUAAGCGACGGCAAACUACGUGCCAGCAGCCGCGGUAAUA